GCCUGGGUGGUGGAAUCGGUAGACACAAGGGACUUAAAAUCCCUCGGUCGCAAGGCUGUACGAGUUCGAGUCUCGUCCCAGGCACCA
This 87-nucleotide transfer RNA is filed under the name Desulforhabdus sp. TSK. RNAcentral describes it as "tRNA-Leu". It matches the Rfam family "tRNA". From Rfam's summary of the family: Transfer RNA (tRNA) molecules are approximately 80 nucleotides in length. Lineage: Bacteria; Pseudomonadati; Thermodesulfobacteriota; Syntrophobacteria; Syntrophobacterales; Syntrophobacteraceae. The record is from RNAcentral.